RNAcentral lists this ribosomal RNA (508 nucleotides) under uncultured bacterium. Its description in RNAcentral is "partial 16S ribosomal RNA". It matches the Rfam family "Bacterial small subunit ribosomal RNA", at positions 28 to 507 of the family's 1533-position model. The record is from RNAcentral.
GACGAACGCUGGCGGCGUGCCUAAUACAUGCCAGUCGAACGCUUCUUUCCUCCCGAGUGCUUGCACUCAAUUGGAAAGAGGAGUGGCGGACGGGUGAGUAACACGUGGGUAACCUACCCAUCAGAGGGGGAUAACACUUGGAAACAGGUGCUAAUACCGCAUAACAGUUUAUGCCGCAUGGCAUAAGAGUGAAAGGCGCUUUCGGGUGUCGCUGAUGGAUGGACCCGCGGUGCAUUAGCUAGUUGGUGAGGUAACGGCUCACCAAGGCCACGAUGCAUAGCCGACCUGAGAGGGUGAUCGGCCACACUGGGACUGAGACACGGCCCAGACUCCUACGGGAGGCAGCAGUAGGGAAUCUUCGGCAAUGGACGAAAGUCUGACCGAGCAACGCCGCGUGAGUGAAGAGGGUUUUCGGAUCGUAAAACUCUGUUGUUAGAGAAGAACAAGGACGUUAGUAACUGAACGUCCCCUGACGGUAUCUAACCAGAAAGCCACGGCUAACUACGUG